UGCAGGUCCGCAGAGUCUACGGAGAAGAGUGCUGCGUCCCGGGUCUCUGACAGGAAGAGGUUACUAAGACAUCCCUCUGAAAGCUGGUUUGCAGAACGAACAGUUCACAGAGUGCAGGUUUACACGAGGUGGCCCAGGGGUGCCCUGGAGACUGAGGACAGGUACUAAGUAAACGCUUCUUUGAUGAAUGAGCUGAGAUCUGUCUCUGCACCGCGUCCUAAGCUCCUGGUACUCUAGGCCAGCUAAACACAGGACGGUCCAGGUCUUGGGCGGCCUCACUGGAAGCCCCUCCCCCCACUCGUAGCCACCCCACAAUCAAAGCGCUUGCAAAGUGCUUUUUCCAGACCAGAGCACCCGCGCCGGUCUGCGGAGCUGCUUUGGAAGCCAGGAGCAGCUUGUCUGCGGGAGACGUAACCCGGCUCUUUCUGGAACAACCGACUUGUUGAUAAUCUUGCCUCAAAGAGGAGUUUGCGGAUGUUUAGAAACAGCGGUGGUGGAAAGAUCCUCCCCAGGGCCAUCGCUGCUCCCUCCGGGGAGGCGGCGCAGCGGUGGAGGAGUGGCCCCACGGCGGGGGCUGCAAAGCGGAGGGAAGACAAAGUGCGCGGCCUCAGAGCGGCGCCUGCACGUGACAGCCCUGGGGCCGGUGGAGUCUCAGAGCAAAGGUGGGGGAGGGGUCUCUACGAGUCAGCCCGACACCUUCUCGCAGUCUCAGGAUAAACUUGGGGGAAAGCACAAGCAAGGCUCAAGAUCCCCAGAACUAGGAGUCCUGGGCCUCCAGGUGGAUAAAUAAAUUAUUAAGCGCCCAAUACACAAUAGCCUCGCUAGAUGGAGUCGAGGAAUCACUGCAGCGGCGCUGGCGGCGGCGGCGGCGGGGAGCGCGGGCGGGAGGCGGGCGAGGCUCUGGCUCCGCUCACGUCUGUUUUCCUUUUUCGUGCAUUAUUUAUUUCAUCUCCGUCCGCGGCCCUGCUGCUCGAGCAGGAGCUCCGGGAAAACGCCUCUCGCCGCUGCCUCCGGCCGGCCGGCCUAAAGCGCACGUAGAGCUCCGCACCCCGCGCCCAGGGCAGCCGCGGGGCGCCAACGGGAAGGGCGGGGACCUCGGCGGGUCGGGGAGCGGCCGCGGGCUCCUGCGAGGCUCGCACAGCCGGCUCCAGGCGGCAGAAGGAGACUUUCCCCGCCCUCCGGCUCCGCCUCGGUAACGGCCCGAGCUCCGGGCGCGGGGUGCCUCCUCUCCCGCCCCGCGCGCCACCAGGCGCAGCUCAGAGCCACAGCGCCCUGCGCCCCGUGCGAGCGCGGCGCGCCCGGGGCCGGAGCUCAGCAGUCCUGGAGGCCCAGGGAGAGCGCAAACUUUUGCUUCAGUGCCCGGCGCUCCUCCGCGACAUGUGAAGCCCCCAAGCGCCAGCGCAGCUGCCAGGUUCGCCCCAUCAGUGGGCGCCGUGGGCCGAGAUGCUCCUCCGGGACCUGGUACUGCGCCGUGGCUGUCGCUGGCCCUCGCUGCUGCUGCACUGCGCGCUCCAUCCGCUCUGGGGCUUCGUACAGGUGACGCACGGUGAGCCCCAGAAGUCCUGCUCCAAGGUGACUGACAGCUGCCAACACAUCUGCCAGUGCCGGCCCCCACCCCCGCUCCCCCCACCACCCCCGCCGCCACCACCUCCCAGACUCCUCUCUGCCCCAGCUCCCAGCUCUACCUCGUGCCCUGCCGAGGAAAGCUGGUGGUCGGGGCUGGUGAUCAUCAUUGCCGUAUGUUGUGCCUCUCUGGUGUUUCUGACUGUCCUUGUCAUCAUUUGCUACAAAGCCAUAAAAAGGAAUCAAGCCAUUUAGGGGGCCCUCGGUGGCCAUCUCCACCGGGACCAGGGUGGAGAUGCCUGUCCUGGCUUGGCCCACAGAGUCCGGAGCUGGGCUGGGUCCUAGUGUCUUCCUCCAGACCUUCAAGAGCCCCGGGGCGCAUGAUAGGAAACCCCUGCGAAAAGAUGAAAAUGGUACCAGCGUUGCUGAGUAUCCCAUGAGCUCCUCACAGAGCAAUAAAGGGGUGGAUGUGAGCAACGCAGUGGUGUGAGUCUGCAGGCCCUGGACCCGCUGGCCAGAGGGACACCUUGAUGGCACUAAUGGACAUGGGAAGCUGACCCUGGGCUUGUCCAGGACUUCAUUGCCUUGCAGGCCUCAAGUCUCCUGAAGGAGAAACCAUCCUUUUCCCAGGCCAGCCCCAGCUGGCCUAUGGGCAGGGGCAGUGCAGAUGCUGGGCUGAGCCCAGGUCCCCCUGCAUGCAGUGCCUGGGGCAGCAUCACCGCCCAGGGCUCUCCAUCCUCCUCUUGUCUUGUGUUUGGUCCACAGACUGUUCACCAACUGCUGUCUAAAGCACAUGCUCUGAUGAAGGCAGAAGGGCUGUCUGCUUGUGGGGGCAGGAGGUGCCCUUUUAGCUAACAGAAGGUGAACAGGGCCACUCCCCAGCCUGAAAACCUCCCUCUUCCAGGAAGCAGCCUGCUUGCUUCUCUGUGGAUGUCCCAACAGAAGCCAUCGACACAGCCAUGAGACAGACGUCCCCUUUCAAAGGUGCUUCCCACACAUCUGUUCCUCACCCCAUCUGUAACUGUCCCCAGUCUUCAGGGCCAGUGUCUGCCCUCCUGUACCUGGGCCAUGAGGCCAGCCUGAGAACCCCUGUGAGCGGACAUGGGGGCUCAUUUACAUGGGGGUAGAGCAUCACAGAAGCCUAGAUUAAGGGAGUCUGGAAAGGGCAAGGAUUCCCCGCCCUGUUCUCAGACAGCAGCACACCUGGAUGCAGCCUUGUGGGGAGGAGGUCGUCACUUGUGCCAACCCAUCGGGGCACUCUGGCCUGGAGCCACAUCUUCCGGACCAUGCCCCGAGACCUAACAGUGGUGCCCAGAUUCUUCUGAGAGCCCCUAGAAGGAGGGGUUUUAUUCCCAUGUCCUGCAGGCCAGUGCUCUGGAUGUGCCGAACCCUCCUGAGUAUGGAAGGUGGAGGAGAAGGGCAGGAACCUCCAGGCUUGUCACCUCUUCCCUGCCCACCGGUUUCCCAGAUGGCACCUCCCACUGGGACACAUUGCCCAGCCCAUGGAGGCAGUGACCUUGUGAGCUUACCUCCUUUGGCAAGUUAGGAGGACACUCUUCACCCCAUGGUUCCCCUCACCACCCUCACAGACCUGCUGAAAUGGAACCAGGCCUAUUUAACAGUUAGGCUUGUGACCUUGUCGGGAUUAAGCUGACUGGACCUCGUUUGCCUUCUAUGCCGCUAUUGUACUUCUCUGGCAGGUUUUUGGGUUGUGAUGAGACCCUCAAAUCCAGGUAAGAUGGACAGAUAUGAAAGCCACUCCCCCAUGUGACAAAAAUGUCCACUGUCCCAGUGCCCUGUGCCCAGAGCUGUCACUGUCCUUCCCCUGGCCAGUGUAUGCACCCUGAGGCCAGCUCAGGAAACCCCCAUCCUGAGGCUUUUUUUCCUUUCCUUUCUCCUCCUCUGGCUUGAGGACUCCUUUGAACUUCACUUUCCUGACACACCUUGGCGUCAUUAUGGGGCUGCCAACAGCUCCACCCUGUGAACACUUGGCAGUACGCUUGGGAUGCAGGGUCAGGUGACAAACAGGCCAGAGGAGGGGGUUCAGGGACAGGGCAGGAGAGAGAAACCAGGCAGACCCCAGGCCAGGGCACUGUGCCCCUCUGCCCACAGCCUCCACUCCUGCAGAGCCCCCUCCUUGAGCAUAGACUUGGGCAGGUGAGCAGUAGCCCAGCCCUAAACACACCGCACUCCAGGCUUCAUGGCAGAAAAAGCUGAUGCCCUGGGCUGGUCCAGAGUAGCCAGAGGGUGCUUUAGGCUGGAAGCUACUGGCUAAGGUGCCCUGGUGAGCUAGGGCCACCCUGAAAAGCUGAGGAUGGCCGAGUAUCCAUACACCCACAGGGCUCUACUAUCCUUGACAAUGGCUUAAACGUAGGAAGCCCAGAUUUUGCAGUUAGGCUGCAGGAACCUGACUGAGCUGCCCUUCAUGCUGGCCCUCAAGACACCCAGGGCUCUAGUUUGCAUGCAAAUUCCCCUCCAACCAGCUUGUAAGGUCCAUUCUCAGCCAGUUAUGGAAAACCAAGGGAAGAGUUGCAUUCUUUAAAAGAAUAUUCACUUGAGAACAAAGCCCCCACAUUCAGGACUGGUGCCCAGAGGACACAUCUCAUGGAGCAGUGUGGGAGGACCCCUGGCUUUCAGCUUAGGAGACUGAUGUGCCCAUCCAACUGCUGCAACCUAGUAUGUGAGCUUGGAGCUUUCGUUCAAAAUAAAUCUGCAGCGCCGCAGCCCGGACCCCUCCUCAGAUUGGUCCGAGGUCGAGAAGGAGGUGCACAUUCUUGCCGUGCAUUUUCUCAGCUGUCCAGUAGUCAAGCUCCACUUGGGAACGCAGUGGCAUUUGGGGGCUCCCAGCGAACCCAGUGUUCCUAACAGGCUUCUGGGAAAGUUUUGGAAGAAAGACUAAUAGGUAUAAAAAUAUAAACAUAUAUAUUAUAUAGUUAUAUAUUUAAAGAAAUAUCUGUAUAUAAUUACUGUACUCUCUGCAUCUGUAUGAUCUCAACAGCCGAGGUAGCGUGAGACAUGUAAUGCAUGAGUGUAAAUACCCUGACCUCUGCCUUCUUAGCGAUGUGCCGUGUGUACGGGGACGAUCUCUCUUGUUCCUAGGCGUUCUGUCUCAAUGGACAAGUACACCUGUCUAUGCCAUCUUGUCCACCAAUGAGCCAUUAAUGUCGAUUUCAUGCUGAGACUUCUGUACAGGAGGCAGGACUGGCAGCCUUGGGGGAUGCGCUGUAUGCUCCUUAUGAGGAAAGAAGCACCAUGACUUUUUUUUAUUUUCAAUAAAAAUAUACUUAAAAGA
RNA transcript from Cavia porcellus (domestic guinea pig), 4855 nucleotides. It is a transcript of the gene named proline rich membrane anchor 1, with no coding region annotated. Lineage: Eukaryota; Metazoa; Chordata; Mammalia; Rodentia; Caviidae. The transcript has 6 exons. The record is from RefSeq and is a predicted model, not a curated record.